UACGGAGGGUGCGAGCGUUAAUCGGAAUUACUGGGCGUAAAGGGUGCGUAGGUGGUAUGGUAAGUUAUCUGUGAAAUUCCUGGGCUUAACCUGGGACGGUCAGAUGAUACUGCUGUACUCGAGUAUGGGAGAGGGUAGUGGAAUUUCCGGUGUAGCGGUGAAAUGCGUAGAGAUCGGAAGGAACACCAGUGGCGAAGGCAGCACUCUGGGCUGGUAUUGACGCUGAGGAGCGAAAGCAUGGGUAGCGAACAGG
RNAcentral lists this ribosomal RNA (253 nucleotides) under uncultured bacterium. RNAcentral describes it as "partial 16S ribosomal RNA". It matches the Rfam family "Bacterial small subunit ribosomal RNA", at positions 524 to 776 of the family's 1533-position model. The record is from RNAcentral.